This 545-nucleotide ribosomal RNA is filed under the name Streptomyces sp. T4. RNAcentral's name for it is "bacterial SSU rRNA". It matches the Rfam family "Bacterial small subunit ribosomal RNA", at positions 335 to 890 of the family's 1533-position model. Lineage: Bacteria; Bacillati; Actinomycetota; Actinomycetes; Kitasatosporales; Streptomycetaceae. The record is from RNAcentral.
CCUCCUACGGGAGGCCACAGUGGGGAAUAUUGCACAAUGGGCGCAAGCCUGAUGCAGCGACGCCGCGUGAGGGAUGACGGCCUUCGGGUUGUAAACCUCUUUCAGCAGGGAAGAAGCGAAAGUGACGGUACCUGCAGAAGAAGCGCCGGCUAACUACGUGCCAGCAGCCGCGGUAAUACGUAGGGCGCAAGCGUUGUCCGGAAUUAUUGGGCGUAAAGAGCUCGUAGGCGGCUUGUCGCGUCGGUUGUGAAAGCCCGGGGCUUAACCCCGGGUCUGCAGUCGAUACGGGCAGGCUAGAGUUCGGUAGGGGAGAUCGGAAUUCCUGGUGUAGCGGUGAAAUGCGCAGAUAUCAGGAGGAACACCGGUGGCGAAGGCGGAUCUCUGGGCCGAUACUGACGCUGAGGAGCGAAAGCGUGGGGAGCGAACAGGAUUAGAUACCCUGGUAGUCCACGCCGUAAACGGUGGGCACUAGGUGUGGGCAACAUUCCACGUUGUCCGUGCCGCAGCUAACGCAUUAAGUGCCCCGCCUGGGGAGUACGGCCGCA